AGCGAAUGCUCGUUUAUUUAACAUGUUUAGACAGGCAAAGCACUUAUAUUUUGUUAUCUACACUCUCAGGCCUAGAUAUGUAUCCUAUACAGUUAUGCCUGAAAUAAUGCAGCAUACUUGAUAUGUUAUAAAGCUCUUUUUUUUUUCAUUGUGUAUAGAUUGGAAGGCUGUGUAUUGCACUCAUUAAGCAGCCAAAACUUGUACCCACUUUGAUAAGUCAUAUUGCUCUGUUUAUCUUUCAACAUAACUGUCUUUUCAACUGCACUUCAUUUUUUCCACCCUUAGAGCUCAUGGUUUUUAAACAACUUGUGGUAAAAAUCUGGUGGAAAAGAUAACAACAGUAUAUGAUAUGGCAGAGUUGCACAGAAGAAUCAGAACAUUGUUUUAGAGAAACGUUGGGCAAUUAAUUAAGCCAGCUGAUUAAGUUUUAAAGGAGGAAGAUGGAACUUGGAGAAGACAUACAGGCUGAAGAAAAAAAAAUAUUUUGGAAGUGAUCAGCACAUUCUAAUUGACCAUGGAUGCUCUCUGCAUUCAUGUGGUAACCCAGGGAGAGUAUGGAGUGAAAAGAGGAUCACCAAAGAAACUUGGGGUAUCUCAACAUUUAGGAAGUGUGCAGAGAAGAUGAGAUCAUUAAAAUGUACCAAGAGGUUAUAUUUAAAUGUUAGAGGGAAAUCAAAAGAAUGGCACCACAAAAAUCAAGGGUUGGACUUCUUUAUAAUUGUUUGGCUGAGUUUUUAGAUGGUGAACUUAGAACGUACAACUUGAGGGAGUCAUUUAUAGGAAGUGAUAACCCAAAUAUUGUAACGUAACUUCAAUUACUGAUGCUAAUAAAAUUUUCAGAGUGUGAUCACUCUUGGCGGAUGUUUGGGCAAUGGAAC
RNAcentral lists this long non-coding RNA (878 nucleotides) under Homo sapiens (human). RNAcentral describes it as "PREDICTED lncRNA (TCONS_00257102)". The record is from RNAcentral. Lineage: Eukaryota; Metazoa; Chordata; Mammalia; Primates; Hominidae.